CGUGCUGAGCAAGGACCGGGGCGGCGGUGGGGCAAGGGUGUAGAGCUGGGGUUCCCAGCGGAGAGCAUGUCCAAGGAGCGGCUGCCGGCGAGGUGAUGCUUCUGCCUGGGCCUACUUGGGACCGGAAGUGAGCGCUCGCGCGGGGAGGAUGCCGGGAAGCAGGUCCCAGGGGAUAUGUGUGUGUCGCUGCAGACCCAUCCCGGAAGCCGGCCGGGAGACUAUCAAGAUCUCCACUUAGGGAAGUGGGAAUCUUAUUUGCGGAACAUUGGGCAGAAGCUUUGACAUUGGCUGGUGGAGAAGGAGGAGGCAGAAUGUCUGCAUUGUUACACCAUACAGCUCAAACUUCAGAAGACUUUGGGUUAAGCAGUUACCAUUAGUCUGCAAAUGAUCGUGUUUUCACCUGAUCAUUAGAAACUAAUGAAACACCUUUUAAGUCUUAUGAAUUCAGGUUACACUGUUUUCCAGAUGCCUUGGCAGCUGGUACAGGUUUAAAUUUAUGUUGUUUUGUGGUACAGUUUAAAAAUAGUGGAUAACA
RNAcentral lists this small RNA (535 nucleotides) under Pan troglodytes (chimpanzee). RNAcentral describes it as "processed transcript". Lineage: Eukaryota; Metazoa; Chordata; Mammalia; Primates; Hominidae. The record is from RNAcentral.